GUGGGGAAUCUUGCGCAAUGGGCGAAAGCCUGACGCAGCAACGCCGCGUGGGGGAUGAAGGCUCUCGGGUUGUAAACCCCUUUCAGCAGGGACGAAUCAAGACGGUACCUGCAGAAGAAGCCCCGGCUAACUACGUGCCAGCAGCCGCGGUAACACGUAGGGGGCAAGCGUUGUCCGGAUUUAUUGGGCGUAAAGAGCUCGUAGGUGGCUGAGUAAGUCGGAUGUCAAAUCCCCAGGCUCAACCUGGGAUCCCAUCCGAUACUGCUCUGGCUAGAGUCCGGUAGGGGAGCGUGGAAUUCCUGGUGUAGCGGUGAAAUGCGCAGAUAUCAGGAGGAACACCAGCGGCGAAGGCGGCGCUCUGGGCCGGUACUGACACUGAGGAGCGAAAGCGUGGGGAGCGAACAGGAUUAGAUACCCUUGUAGUCC
RNAcentral lists this ribosomal RNA (426 nucleotides) under uncultured bacterium. RNAcentral describes it as "partial 16S ribosomal RNA". It matches the Rfam family "Bacterial small subunit ribosomal RNA", at positions 354 to 796 of the family's 1533-position model. The record is from RNAcentral.